CCCCGUAACCUAGGGAGAAGGGGUGCUCGUCAGAGACGAGCCGCAGAAAAACGGCCCAAGCGACUGUUUACCAAAAACACAGCUCUCUGCGAAGGCGCAAGCCGAAGUAUAGGGGGUGACGCCUGCCCGGUGCUGGAAGGUCAAGGGGAGUGGUCAGCGCAAGCGAAGCCAUGAUCCGAAGCCCCAGUAAACGGCGGCCGUAACUAUAACGGUCCUAAGGUAGCGAAAUUCCUUGUCAGGUAAGUUCUGACCCGCACGAAAGGCGUAACGAUUUGGGCGCUGUCUCGGCUGUAGACUCGGUGAAGUCUUAGUACCUGUGAAGAUGCAGGUUGCCCGCGACUAGACGGAAAGACCCCAUGGAGCUUCACUGCAGGUUGACAUUGGGCCUGGGUGCAUGAUGUACAGGAUAGGUGGGAGGCAGAGAGACGGGUUCGCCAGGAUCCGAGGAGCCGCCGUUGGGAUACCACCCUUCAUGCAUCUAGGUUCUAACCGGAGGCCAUGAACUGGCCACGGGACAGUGUCAGUCGGGCAGUUUGACUGGGGCGGUCGCCUCCCAAAGAGUAACGGAGGCGCCCAAAGAUACCCUCAGCGUGGAUGGAAACCACGCAUCGAGUGCAAAGGCAUAAGGGUGUCUGACUGCGAGACAUACAGGUCGAGCAGGGACGAAAGUCGGGCUUAGUGAUCCGGCGGUUCCGAAUGGAAGGGCCGUCGCUCAACGGAUAAAAGCUACCCUGGGGAUAACAGGCUGAUCUCCCCCAAGAGUUCACAUCGACGGGGAGGUUUGGCACCUCGAUGUCGGCUCAUCGCAUCCUGGAGCUGAAGUCGGUUCCAAGGGUUGGGCUGUUCGCCCAUUAAAGCGGUACGCGAGCUGGGUUCAGAACGUCGUGAGACAGUUCGGUCCCUAUCUGUCGUGGGCGCAGGAGGUCUGAGGAGAGCUGCCCUCAGUACGAGAGGACCGGGGUGGACGGACCGAUGGUGCACCAGUUGUCACGCCAGUGGCACAGCUGGGUAGCCAAGUCCGGAAGGGAUAAGCGCUGAAGGCAUCUAAGCGCGAAGCCCCCUCCAAGAUGAGACCUCCCAUUGCGCAAGCAAGUAAGACCCCUCGAAGACGACGAGGUUGAUAGACCGGGAGUGCAAGCAUGGCGACAUGUUCAGCGGACCGGCACUAAUAGGUCGAGGACUUGACCGA
This 1189-nucleotide ribosomal RNA is filed under the name Kandleria vitulina MC3001. RNAcentral's name for it is "bacterial LSU rRNA". It matches the Rfam family "Bacterial large subunit ribosomal RNA", at positions 1726 to 2925 of the family's 2925-position model. Lineage: Bacteria; Bacillati; Bacillota; Erysipelotrichia; Erysipelotrichales; Coprobacillaceae. The record is from RNAcentral.